Molecule: ribosomal RNA, 637 nt
Filed under: uncultured bacterium
Lineage: Bacteria
Description: bacterial SSU rRNA
Rfam family: Bacterial small subunit ribosomal RNA
Source: RNAcentral
GCUCAACCGGGGAGGGUCAUUGGAAACUGGGAAACUUGAGUGCAGAAGAGGAGAGUGGAAUUCCACGUGUAGCGGUGAAAUGCGUAGAGAUGUGGAGGAACACCAGUGGCGAAGGCGACUCUCUGGUCUGUAACUGACGCUGAGGAGCGAAAGCGUGGGGAGCGAACAGGAUUAGAUACCCUGGUAGUCCACGCCGUAAACGAUGAGUGCUAAGUGUUAGGGGGUUUCCGCCCCUUAGUGCUGCAGCUAACGCAUUAAGCACUCCGCCUGGGGAGUACGGUCGCAAGACUGAAACUCAAAGGAAUUGACGGGGGCCCGCACAAGCGGUGGAGCAUGUGGUUUAAUUCGAAGCAACGCGAAGAACCUUACCAGGUCUUGACAUCCUCUGACAACCCAAGAGAUAGGGCUUUCCCUUCGGGGACAGAGUGACAGGUGGUGCAUGGUUGUCGUCAGCUCGUGUCGUGAGAUGUUGGGUUAAGUCCCGCAACGAGCGCAACCCUUGAUCUUAGUUGCCAGCAUUCAGUUGGGCACUCUAAGGUGACUGCCGGUGACAAACCGGAGGAAGGUGGGGAUGACGUCAAAUCAUCAUGCCCCUUAUGACCUGCGCUACACACGUGCUACAAUGGACAGAACAAAG